GUCGAGAAUCUUUCACAAUGGGGGCAACCCUGAUGGAGCGACGCCGCGUGGAGGAUAAGGUCUUCGGAUUGUAAACUCCUGUCAUGCGUGAACAAGGUUGCUUGGUUAAUACCUGGGCAAAUUGAUGGUAACGCAAGAGGAAGAGACGGCUAACUCUGUGCCAGCAGCCGCGGUAAUACAGAGGUCUCAAGCGUUGUUCGGAAUCACUGGGCGUAAAGGGUGCGUAGGUGGCGUGGUAAGUCAGAUGUGAAAGCCCGGGGCUCAACCGCGGAACUGCAUCCGAUACUGCCAUGCUAGAGUACUGGAGAGGUGACUAGAAUUCUCGGUGUAGCAGUGAAAUGCGUAGAUAUCGAGAGGAAUACCAAAGGCGUAGGCAGGUCACUGGACAGUUACUGACACUGAGGCACGAAGGCCAGGGGAGCGAACGGGAUUAGAAACCCUUGUAGUCC
This 449-nucleotide ribosomal RNA is filed under the name uncultured bacterium. RNAcentral describes it as "partial 16S ribosomal RNA". It matches the Rfam family "Bacterial small subunit ribosomal RNA", at positions 354 to 796 of the family's 1533-position model. The record is from RNAcentral.